RNAcentral lists this ribosomal RNA (345 nucleotides) under uncultured soil bacterium. RNAcentral describes it as "bacterial SSU rRNA". It matches the Rfam family "Bacterial small subunit ribosomal RNA", at positions 26 to 385 of the family's 1533-position model. The record is from RNAcentral.
AGAUUGAACGCUGGCGGCAUGCCUAACACAUGCAAGUCGAACGGGAGUAGCAAUACUCUAGUGGCGGACGGGUGAGGAAUACGUAGGAAUUUGCCCUUAAGUGGGGGAUAACCCGGGGAAACCCGGAUUAAUACCGCAUGACCUCGAAAGAGCAAAGUGGGGGAUCGCAAGACCUCACGCUUUUGGAGAAGCCUACGUCGGAUUAGCUAGUUGGUGAGGUAAUGGCUCACCAAGGCGACGAUCCGUAACUGGUCUGAGAGGAUGAUCAGUCACACCGGAACUGAGACACGGUCCGACUCCUACGGGAGCAGCAGUGGGGAAUAUUGGACAAUGGGCGCAAGCCUG